GGCCACUUCAAAAUGCCCACAAAAUUGGCUGUGUGCCAUGGGCAGCUCCAAAAAAACUCUUUGUCUUGCUGUGAUUUAGGUUGCCCUAUCAGAUCCAUCCCCCUGGAUUCUAAGAACCAGGCACAGCAGUUCUUUAAGAAAUGUGAUUGACUUUUCAAAACAUUGUGUUGGGCUAGGUACCCAUGUGGGAAAGCACAGAGAGCAGAGACCAGACCAUUCUUCUUGUUUCAGUUCCUUUACACAGUUCCACGGUGUUGCAAGAAAGGUGGCAGGAGCAAUUAUGUUCUUAAUUGUAGUGGAAGUCCUGAUUAGUCCCUGCAGCCCCAGGAUGGAGACGCAUGCUCAGGACAGAUGGAGUCUUCAGAGAAUUUAUAAGCCAACCUCUAGCAAGCCUGUGCUGAACAUGUGCACACUGAGAACUGCAACCCCUCUUAACUUUUCCCAGUUUGGACAGGUUUCCACUGAACUGGCAAAACACACAUUCCUUGCAGCAGAGUACCUCCUUUCCAACUUAAUUUCAAAUCUCUGCUCCAAGGAGUGGCAGUACUUAGAUUCUUAAUGAAACAAUUUAUAAGAAUGUUUAUAACACAAGCAAAACAGUGGACUUUUCCCUGAACCUUGGAAUAAGAGCAGAUUAGGGUUUGGGUUUUUUUGGGUUGUUUUGGAAUGUUUUAAAAAAUUCCACAGAUAGUUAUGAACAGACAUCACCUUCGUCUUCAGACAAAGCCCUUUGACCCCUGGAUGGCACAGGCAUACAUAUAAACUGUUCUUCAUUUCAAAUCUCUCUAAGUAGGCCAGGUAAAAUGUAUUAACACAUCUUUUUCCCAGGAUAUCCUAUUGUACAUCUGUAUGGUUCUUGUGGUGCAUUUCUGCUGUAAGAAAAGGCUGGAUGUGCUCUAAUAAAACUUAUUGGAUUGUCAGGCUCAAUGGCUUGAUGUCUAGUUGGC
Gavialis gangeticus (Gharial) is the source of this 947-nucleotide long non-coding RNA. RefSeq lists it as uncharacterized. The record is from RefSeq and is a predicted model, not a curated record. The transcript is spliced from 3 exons. Lineage: Eukaryota; Metazoa; Chordata; Crocodylia; Gavialidae.